This 483-nucleotide ribosomal RNA is filed under the name uncultured bacterium. RNAcentral's name for it is "bacterial SSU rRNA". It matches the Rfam family "Bacterial small subunit ribosomal RNA", at positions 30 to 507 of the family's 1533-position model. The record is from RNAcentral.
AUUGAACGCUGGCGGCAUGCCUUACACAUGCAAGUCGAACGGUAGCACGGGAGCAAUCCUGGUGGCGAGUGGCGAACGGGUGAGUAAUAUAUCGGAACGUGCCCAGUCGUGGGGGAUAACGUAGCGAAAGCUACGCUAAUACCGCAUACGAUCUAUGGAUGAAAGCGGGGGAUCGCAAGACCUCGCGCGAUUGGAGCGGCCGAUAUCAGAUUAGGUAGUUGGUGAGGUAAAGGCUCACCAAGCCGACGAUCUGUAGCUGGUCUGAGAGGACGACCAGCCACACUGGGACUGAGACACGGCCCAGACUCCUACGGGAGGCAGCAGUGGGGAAUUUUGGACAAUGGGCGCAAGCCUGAUCCAGCAAUGCCGCGUGCAGGAUGAAGGCCUUCGGGUUGUAAACUGCUUUGUACGGAACGAAACGGUGAGCUCUAAUACAGUUUGCUAAUGACGGUACCGUAAGAAUAAGCACCGGCUAACUACGUG